AUUGAACGCUGGCUGCAGGCCUAACACAUGCAAGUCGAACGGUAGCACAGAGAGCUUGCUCACGGGUGACGAGUGUCGGACGGGUGAGUAAUGUCUGGGAAACUGCCCGAUGGAGGGGGAUAACUACUGGAAACGGUAGCUAAUACCGCAUAACGUCGCAAGACCAAAGUGGGGGACCUUCGGGCCUCACACCAUCGGAUGUGCCCAGAUGGGAGUAGCUAGUAGGUGGGGUAAUGGCUCACCUAGGCGACGAUCCCUAGCUGGGCUGAGAGGAUGACCGACCACACUGGAACGGAGACACGGUCAAGACUCCAACGGGAGGCAGAAUUGGGGAAGAUUGCACAAGGGGCGCAAGCCUGAUGCAGCCAUGCCGAGUGUAUGAAGAAGGCCUUCAGGUGGUAAAGUACUUUCAGCGGGGAGGAAGGCGGUGAAGUUAAUAGCUUCACCGAUUGACGUUACCCGCAGAAGAAGCACCGGCUAACUCCGUGCCAGCCGCCGCAGUAA
RNAcentral lists this ribosomal RNA (504 nucleotides) under uncultured bacterium. Its description in RNAcentral is "partial 16S ribosomal RNA". It matches the Rfam family "Bacterial small subunit ribosomal RNA", at positions 29 to 523 of the family's 1533-position model. The record is from RNAcentral.